GAUGAACGCUGGCGGCGUGCCUAAUACAUGCAAGUCGAGCGAACAGAUGAGGAGCUUGCUCCUCUGACGUUAGCGGCGGACGGGUGAAUAACACGUGGAUAACCUACCUAUAAGACUGGGAUAACUUCGGGAAACCGGAGCUAAUACCGGAUAAUAUAUUGAACCGCAUGGUUCAAUAGUGAAAGACGGUUUUGCUGUCACUUAUAGAUGGAUCCGCGCCGCAUUAGCUAGUUGGUAAGGUAACGGCUUACCAAGGCAACGAUGCGUAGCCGACCUGAGAGGGUGAUCGGCCACACUGGAACUGAGACACGGUCCAGACUCCUACGGGAGGCAGCAGUAGGGAAUCUUCCGCAAUGGGCGAAAGCCUGACGGAGCAACGCCGCGUGAGUGAUGAAGGUCUUCGGAUCGUAAAACUCUGUUAUUAGGGAAGAACAAAUGUGUAAGUAACUAUGCACGUCCUGACGGUACCUAAUCAGAAAGCCACGGCUAACUACGUG
RNAcentral lists this ribosomal RNA (497 nucleotides) under uncultured bacterium. RNAcentral describes it as "partial 16S ribosomal RNA". It matches the Rfam family "Bacterial small subunit ribosomal RNA", at positions 28 to 507 of the family's 1533-position model. The record is from RNAcentral.